GAUGAACGCUGGCGGCGUGCCUAAUACAUGCAAGUCGAGCGAACGGACGAGAAGCUUGCUUCUCUGAUGUUAGCGGCGGACGGGUGAGUAACACGUGGAUAACCUACCUAUAAGACUGGGAUAACUUCGGGAAACCGGAGCUAAUACCGGAUAAUAUUUUGAACCGCAUGAUUCAAAAGUGAAAGACGGUCUUGCUGUCACUUAUAGAUGGAUCCGCGCUGCAUUAGCUAGUUGGUAAGGUAACGGCUUACCAAGGCAACGAUGCAUAGCCGACCUGAGAGGGUGAUCGCACACACUGGAACUGAGACACGGUCCAGACUCCUACGGGAGGCAGCAGUAGGGAAUCUUCCGCAAUGGGCGAAAGCCUGACGGAGCAACGCCGCGUGAGUGAUGAAGGUCUUCGGAUCGUAAAACUCUGUUAUUAGGGAAGAACAUAUGUGUAAGUAACUGUGCACAUCUUGACGGUACCUAAUCAGAAAGCCACGGCUAACUACGUG
RNAcentral lists this ribosomal RNA (497 nucleotides) under uncultured bacterium. Its description in RNAcentral is "partial 16S ribosomal RNA". It matches the Rfam family "Bacterial small subunit ribosomal RNA", at positions 28 to 507 of the family's 1533-position model. The record is from RNAcentral.